RNAcentral lists this ribosomal RNA (608 nucleotides) under Streptomyces tendae. Its description in RNAcentral is "bacterial SSU rRNA". It matches the Rfam family "Bacterial small subunit ribosomal RNA", at positions 74 to 697 of the family's 1533-position model. Lineage: Bacteria; Bacillati; Actinomycetota; Actinomycetes; Kitasatosporales; Streptomycetaceae. The record is from RNAcentral.
ACCACUUCGGUGGGGAUUAGUGGCGAACGGGUGAGUAACACGUGGGCAAUCUGCCCUGCACUCUGGGACAAGCCCUGGAAACGGGGUCUAAUACCGGAUACUGACCCUCGCAGGCAUCUGCGAGGUUCGAAAGCUCCGGCGGUGCAGGAUGAGCCCGCGGCCUAUCAGCUUGUUGGUGAGGUAAUGGCUCACCAAGGCGACGACGGGUAGCCGGCCUGAGAGGGCGACCGGCCACACUGGGACUGAGACACGGCCCAGACUCCUACGGGAGGCAGCAGUGGGGAAUAUUGCACAAUGGGCGAAAGCCUGAUGCAGCGACGCCGCGUGAGGGAUGACGGCCUUCGGGUUGUAAACCUCUUUCAGCAGGGAAGAAGCGAAAGUGACGGUACCUGCAGAAGAAGCGCCGGCUAACUACGUGCCAGCAGCCGCGGUAAUACGUAGGGCGCGAGCGUUGUCCGGAAUUAUUGGGCGUAAAGAGCUCGUAGGCGGCUUGUCACGUCGGUUGUGAAAGCCCGGGGCUUAACCCCGGGUCUGCAGUCGAUACGGGCAGGCUAGAGUUCGGUAGGGGAGAUCGGAAUUCCUGGUGUAGCGGUGAAAUGCGCAGAUAU